AGCGUUGUUCGGAAUUACUGGGCGUAAAGCGCGCGCAGGCGGCUAUCCAAGUCAGUGGUGAAAGCCCGGAGCUCAACUCCGGAACUGCCAUUGAAACUGUUUAGCUUGAGGACGAGAGAGGUGAGUGGAAUUCCCAGUGUAG
This 142-nucleotide ribosomal RNA is filed under the name uncultured Alphaproteobacteria bacterium. Its description in RNAcentral is "partial 16S ribosomal RNA". It matches the Rfam family "Bacterial small subunit ribosomal RNA", at positions 537 to 678 of the family's 1533-position model. Lineage: Bacteria; Pseudomonadati; Pseudomonadota; Alphaproteobacteria. The record is from RNAcentral.